This 856-nucleotide long non-coding RNA is filed under the name Lupinus mutabilis. RNAcentral describes it as "partial ncRNA". The record is from RNAcentral. Lineage: Eukaryota; Viridiplantae; Streptophyta; Magnoliopsida; Fabales; Fabaceae.
CUCACUCUUUCUUUCCUUCUCACCAAACACUCUCUUGUUCUUUCUUCUUUGUUUUCAUUUCACGCUCAUCACUCAUACCAUGUCAACUCCUAAUGAGAGCCUCCAUUUCUAUCAACAAAACUUCCCCACCACUGUCACCACCACCACCACCACCACCACCACCCACUCACCACCACAUCAAGAAGGCCGCAUCUCCAAGCCUACAAGGCGCCGAAGCAGGACUUCAAGGCGAACUCCCACCACCUUGCUCAACACAGACACCACUAACUUUCGUGCCAUGGUUCAGCAAUUCACUGGCGCUCCAACUCUUCCUUCCGCUUUGGCUUCCGGUUUUUGGUCCACUCCUCACCCAAAUCGGAUCAUCUUACCACCUUCUUCCACCUUUCAUCACCACCAACAACAACAACAACAGUUAUAUCAACACUACAACAUAGAAAGUAAUGGAGGAGGAGAGAAUAUGAAUAAUAGGUUUGUGGAGGGACUAAUCAGCAACAACAGCAACCAAACAACAAUUAAUGGUAGUGGUGAUGAUGGUAGCAGGUUAAUCUUCAUGGAUGAUCGUGAUGGAGGAGGACGUUUCUUCUUCCCCACUACUUGAUACUUGAUGUAAUCUAACAACACAUACAAUAAUGGAAAGAAGAAAGCAGAUAAAUUAGGUGCUGACUUAGAGGCGCCAUUGUUGACCAACCUAUCUAUACCCACUUCAUUCUUCUUUUAUACUUUUCCUUCUACAUCCCUUUCUUCUUUUUGCUUUUUAAUACUAUCAUGUAUAUUUCCCUUUUUAAUGUAUCUAUUUUACUCAAUAACAAACUAUCUAUUCAAAGUAACAUGUUAUACUUACUUCAUCAUAAAUAUA